AGGGCGCACGGUGGAUGCCUUGGCACUAGAAGCCGAUGAAGGACGUUACUAACGACGAUAUGCUUUGGGGAGCUGUAAGUAAGCUUUGAUCCAGAGAUUUCCGAAUGGGGAAACCCAACAUGAGUUAUGUCAUGUUAUCGAUAUGUGAAUACAUAGCAUAUCAGAAGGCACACCCGGAGAACUGAAACAUCUUAGUACCCGGAGGAAGAGAAAGAAAAUUCGAUUCCCUUAGUAGCGGCGAGCGAAACGGGAAGAGCCCAAACCAACAAGCUUGCUUGUUGGGGUUGUAGGACACUCUAUACGGAGUUACAAAGGACGACAUUAGACGAAUCAUCUGGAAAGAUGAAUCAAAGAAGGUAAUAAUCCUGUAGUCGAAAAUGUUGUCUCUCUUGAGUGGAUCCUGAGUACGACGGAGCACGUGAAAUUCCGUCGGAAUCUGGGAGGACCAUCUCCUAAGGCUAAAUACUCUCUAGUGACCGAUAGUGAACCAGUACCGUGAGGGAAAGGUGAAAAGCACCCCGGAAGGGGAGUGAAAUAGAACCUGAAACCGUGUGCUUACAAGUAGUCAGAGCCCGUUAAUGGGUGAUGGCGUGCCUUUUGUAGAAUGAACCGGCGAGUUACGAUUUGAUGCAAGGUUAAGCAGUAAAUGUGGAGCCGUAGCGAAAGCGAGUCUGAAUAGGGCGUUUAGUAUUUGGUCGUAGACCCGAAACCAGGUGAUCUACCCUUGGUCAGGUUGAAGUUCAGGUAACACUGAAUGGAGGACCGAACCGACUUACGUUGAAAAGUGAGCGGAUGAACUGAGGGUAGCGGAGAAAUUCCAAUCGAACCUGGAGAUAGCUGGUUCUCUCCGAAAUAGCUUUAGGGCUAGCCUCAAGUGAUGAUUAUUGGAGGUAGAGCACUGUUUGGACGAGGGGCCCCUCUCGGGUUACCGAAUUCAGACAAACUCCGAAUGCCAAUUAAUUUAACUUGGGAGUCAGAACAUGGGUGAUAAGGUCCGUGUUCGAAAGGGAAACAGCCCAGACCACCAGCUAAGGUCCCAAAAUAUAUGUUAAGUGGAAAAGGAUGUGGCGUUGCCCAGACAACUAGGAUGUUGGCUUAGAAGCAGCCAUCAUUUAAAGAGUGCGUAAUAGCUCACUAGUCGAGUGACACUGCGCCGAAAAUGUACCGGGGCUAAACAUAUUACCGAAGCUGUGGAUUGUCCUUUGGACAAUGGUAGGAGAGCGUUCUAAGGGCGUUGAAGCAUGAUCGUAAGGACAUGUGGAGCGCUUAGAAGUGAGAAUGCCGGUGUGAGUAGCGAAAGACGGGUGAGAAUCCCGUCCACCGAUUGACUAAGGUUUCCAGAGGAAGGCUCGUCCGCUCUGGGUUAGUCGGGUCCUAAGCUGAGGCCGACAGGCGUAGGCGAUGGAUAACAGGUUGAUAUUCCUGUACCACCUAUAAUCGUUUUAAUCGAUGGGGGGACGCAGUAGGAUAGGCGAAGCGUGCGAUUGGAUUGCACGUCUAAGCAGUAAGGCUGAGUAUUAGGCAAAUCCGGUACUCAUUAAGGCUGAGCUGUGAUGGGGAGAAGACAUUGUGUCUUCGAGUCGUUGAUUUCACACUGCCGAGAAAAGCCUCUAGAUAGAAAAUAGGUGCCCGUACCGCAAACCGACACAGGUAGUCAAGAUGAGAAUUCUAAGGUGAGCGAGCGAACUCUCGUUAAGGAACUCGGCAAAAUGACCCCGUAACUUCGGGAGAAGGGGUGCUCUUUAGGGUUAACGCCCAGAAGAGCCGCAGUGAAUAGGCCCAAGCGACUGUUUAUCAAAAACACAGGUCUCUGCUAAACCGUAAGGUGAUGUAUAGGGGCUGACGCCUGCCCGGUGCUGGAAGGUUAAGAGGAGUGGUUAGCUUCUGCGAAGCUACGAAUCGAAGCCCCAGUAAACGGCGGCCGUAACUAUAACGGUCCUAAGGUAGCGAAAUUCCUUGUCGGGUAAGUUCCGACCCGCACGAAAGGCGUAACGAUUUGGGCACUGUCUCAACGAGAGACUCGGUGAAAUCAUAGUACCUGUGAAGAUGCAGGUUACCCGCGACAGGACGGAAAGACCCCGUGGAGCUUUACUGUAGCCUGAUAUUGAAAUUCGGCACAGCUUGUACAGGAUAGGUAGGAGCCUUUGAAACGUGAGCGCUAGCUUACGUGGAGGCGCUGGUGGGAUACUACCCUAGCUGUGUUGGCUUUCUAACCCGCACCACUUAUCGUGGUGGGAGACAGUGUCAGGCGGGCAGUUUGACUGGGGCGGUCGCCUCCUAAAAGGUAACGGAGGCGCUCAAAGGUUCCCUCAGAAUGGUUGGAAAUCAUUCAUAGAGUGUAAAGGCAUAAGGGAGCUUGACUGCGAGACCUACAAGUCGAGCAGGGUCGAAAGACGGACUUAGUGAUCCGGUGGUUCCGCAUGGAAGGGCCAUCGCUCAACGGAUAAAAGCUACCCCGGGGAUAACAGGCUUAUCUCCCCCAAGAGUUCACAUCGACGGGGAGGUUUGGCACCUCGAUGUCGGCUCAUCGCAUCCUGGGGCUGUAGUCGGUCCCAAGGGUUGGGCUGUUCGCCCAUUAAAGCGGUACGCGAGCUGGGUUCAGAACGUCGUGAGACAGUUCGGUCCCUAUCCGUCGUGGGCGUAGGAAAUUUGAGAGGAGCUGUCCUUAGUACGAGAGGACCGGGAUGGACAUACCUCUGGUGUACCAGUUGUCGUGCCAACGGCAUAGCUGGGUAGCUAUGUGUGGACGGGAUAAGUGCUGAAAGCAUCUAAGCAUGAAGCCCCCCUCAAGAUGAGAUUUCCCAACUUCGGUUAU
RNAcentral lists this ribosomal RNA (2815 nucleotides) under Staphylococcus aureus. RNAcentral's name for it is "bacterial LSU rRNA". It matches the Rfam family "Bacterial large subunit ribosomal RNA". Lineage: Bacteria; Bacillati; Bacillota; Bacilli; Caryophanales; Staphylococcaceae. RNAcentral also lists the same sequence under 1 other name. The record is from RNAcentral.